Molecule: ribosomal RNA, 270 nt
Filed under: uncultured archaeon
Lineage: Archaea
Description: partial 16S ribosomal RNA
Rfam family: Archaeal small subunit ribosomal RNA
Source: RNAcentral
CAGCACCUCAAGUGGUCAGGAUGAUUAUUGGGCCUAAAGCGUCCGUAGCCGGCUUAGCAAGUCUCCUGUUAAAUUCAGCGACCUAAUCGUUGACCCGCGGGAGAUACUACUAGGCUAGGAGGCGGGAGAGGUCGACGGUACUUCUGGGGUAGGGGUGAAAUCCUAUAAUCCCGGGAGGACCACCAGUGGCGAAGGCUGUCGACUAGAACGCGCUCGACGGUGAGGGACGAAAGCUGGGGGAGCGAACCGGAUUAGAUACCCGAGUAGUCC